AACGGUGUGCCAAAAGUGGGUUUUCGCUUGGCUCAUAACCUGAAGGUCAGAGGUUCAAAUCCUCUCCCCGCAACCA
RNAcentral lists this transfer RNA (76 nucleotides) under Thalassospira permensis. Its description in RNAcentral is "tRNA_Pseudo_CAT". The record is from RNAcentral. Lineage: Bacteria; Pseudomonadati; Pseudomonadota; Alphaproteobacteria; Rhodospirillales; Thalassospiraceae. RNAcentral also lists the same sequence under 1 other name.